RNAcentral lists this ribosomal RNA (227 nucleotides) under Lentilactobacillus hilgardii. Its description in RNAcentral is "Lactobacillus hilgardii partial 16S ribosomal RNA". It matches the Rfam family "Bacterial small subunit ribosomal RNA", at positions 1146 to 1372 of the family's 1533-position model. The record is from RNAcentral. Lineage: Bacteria; Bacillati; Bacillota; Bacilli; Lactobacillales; Lactobacillaceae.
AGACUGCCGGUGACAAACCGGAGGAAGGUGGGGAUGACGUCAAAUCAUCAUGCCCCUUAUGACCUGGGCUACACACGUGCUACAAUGGACGGUACAACGAGUCGCGAAACCGCGAGGUCAAGCUAAUCUCUUAAAGCCGUUCUCAGUUCGGAUUGUAGGCUGCAACUCGCCUACAUGAAGUUGGAAUCGCUAGUAAUCGUGGAUCAGCAUGCCACGGUGAAUACGUU